GGCCCCCUCAGCAACGAACGUCAACUGCGGGCCUCCUCACGUGAUUUGAUGGCCUCAGUGGUUCUCGCGGACCUGCAUCAUGGCGAUGGAUGCCAGCAGGUCCUCCAGCUUCUUCUGGUCCGCCACGAAGCCCUUGAUGCCCUGGUCCAGCUUCUCCACAGCCAUCUGAGCGGGGCGCGUUUGCGGUGAGCGCGGCACAGCGGUUAGACGUCGCGUACGGUAACCCUCCUACAAGUCUGCCUGUCAAGUAGCUGCGAAACCGCAACUAAGCCCCUCCCAUAAUGCGCGUCCGUGUACAUGUCGAUGGACAAUGCCAACUGCCUGCCGCACCGCCCCCCUCUGUGCCCCUGCCGGCCCCACCUGGUCCGCGCCGUGCAGCUUGACAAACAGGUCCUCGUGCAUGUUGGACAGCUUGAGCGCGUCCGUCUGCGCCCUGGUCACACGAAGAUGGGGCGGCAGAGGUGCACACACCGUCAAGCACUAUUAGAUAGCCGGCAGGCGUGAGACACCUCACGGCAGGACCCACAAGCACGUGCAUGCGAGAGCACCUGCCACCGCAUUUCUUCUCCGGUCGCACGGUGCCCCCUGCCCCCUGCCCAGUACCCCGGACAGACAACACCACGACCCUGACCACGAC
This 637-nucleotide long non-coding RNA is filed under the name Chlamydomonas reinhardtii. Its description in RNAcentral is "long non-coding RNA (CREI_LNC000046)". Lineage: Eukaryota; Viridiplantae; Chlorophyta; Chlorophyceae; Chlamydomonadales; Chlamydomonadaceae. The record is from RNAcentral.